CCCUUAGAUGUUCUGGGCUGCACGCGUGUUACAAUCGGGAGUACAACAAGAUUGCAAAUCCUAGUGGAUGAGUGGUUCUUCGAAAUUUUCUGAAGACUGGGAUAGUUGAUUGAAAUUAUUCAACUCAAACGAGGAAUUCCUUGUAAUUGUAAUUCAUUAUAUUGUAAUGAAUACGUCCCUGCCCUUUGUACACACCGCCCGUCGCUCCUACCGAUUGAACGAUCCGGUGAAUUAUUUGGAGUAGCUCUGGAAGUUGCAGAACUUCCUAUGUCACGAAAUUUUGUAAACCUUAUCAUUUAGAGGAAGGAAAAGUCGUAACA
Molecule: ribosomal RNA, 320 nt
Filed under: uncultured eukaryote
Lineage: Eukaryota
Description: partial 18S ribosomal RNA
Rfam family: Eukaryotic small subunit ribosomal RNA
Source: RNAcentral